This is a non-coding RNA of Oryza glumipatula, 211 nucleotides long. Lineage: Eukaryota; Viridiplantae; Streptophyta; Magnoliopsida; Poales; Poaceae. The record is from Rfam.
AAUAAGUACCGUUUUGCACUAUUCACGUUUAACGUUUGACCGUUCGUCUUAUUUGAAAAUUUUUUAUGAUUAGUAUUUUUUUUAUUGCUAUUAGAUGAUAAAAUAUGAAUAGUACUUUAUGUGUGACUAAAUAUUUUCAAUUUUUUUAUAAAUUUUUUAAAUAAGAUGGACAGUUAAACGUUGGGUACAGAUAUCCACGACUGCACUUAUU